RNAcentral lists this ribosomal RNA (301 nucleotides) under uncultured bacterium. Its description in RNAcentral is "partial 16S ribosomal RNA". It matches the Rfam family "Bacterial small subunit ribosomal RNA", at positions 509 to 809 of the family's 1533-position model. The record is from RNAcentral.
CAGUCGCCGCGGUAAUACGGAGGGUGCAAGCGUUAAUCGGAAUUACUGGGCGUAAAGGGUGCGUAGGCGGUUGUUUAAGUCUGUCGUGAAAGCCCUGGGCUCAACCUGGGAAUUGCGAUGGAUACUGGGCGACUAGAGUGCGGUAGAGGAUAGUGGAAUUUCCGGUGUAGCAGUGAAAUGCGUAGAGAUCGGAAGGAACAUCUGUGGCGAAGGCGACUAUCUGGGCCAACACUGACACUGAGACACGAAAGCGUGGGGAGCAAACAGGAUUAGAUACCCCAGUAGUCCCUGUCUCUUAUAA